This is a long non-coding RNA of Neofelis nebulosa (Clouded leopard), 821 nucleotides long. RefSeq lists it as uncharacterized. The record is from RefSeq and is a predicted model, not a curated record. NCBI's taxonomy places the organism in Eukaryota, Metazoa, Chordata, Mammalia, Carnivora, Felidae. The transcript is spliced from 3 exons.
CCCCGGAGCCUGCAGAGAGCGUGGUCCUGCCCACACCUUGAUUUCAGACUCCUGGCCUCCAGAAGGUGAAAGAAUAGAUUUCUGCUAUUUAAACACCCCCAGUUUGUGGGCCUUUGUUACAGCCGAUCCAGCAGCCGAAUACAGCAGCCAGCGGGUGAGGGAGCCGGUCCCAGGGGCCUCAGCGUUCCAGCACUUCCAGCCUGACCUGAGGAUUGGCAGAGGGAGCAGGUGCACACACGGUUGGCCCCCUGGAAGUAGUCAGUGCCAAGGCAAGUCACUUUCGAGUCUGUGUGUCCUACCGUACCUGAUGGAAACAAAUCCUGGGGGCCCUUAGCACACUGCCAGAGAGGCCGCCUGGGGAAGAGCCCACAGGAUCAUCCUGUGUUGAUGCCCUGCCGUCCAGGCCCCACCGUUCCCGGGUCGUGGGCAUGUCCUACACAGGCUACACAGCAGUCGUCUGGGUCCGCAGCAGGGCCCGGGAGCCGGCCCUGGGGAACCCGUCGUGUGUCUGUCAUGCUUCGGGUACUGUCCUGUGCUUCCGCAUUUGGACUUUUUCUGGUCCGCUCCCCUGACCUGCUGCACAGCUUUGGCCUCAGUUUCCCCAACUGUGAAUGAGAAGCCACCCAAGAUGCCCCCGAGGGCUUUCCUUGCUGGGCAAAGAUUCCCCACUUGAGCCAGACAGCGCUCUGUGACCAGCCAGCUGCUCACGAGCUGUGAUGCAGUGAGUGCUGUUCUCUGCCAAGGACGGUGAGAUAUUUAUUCGAUAAUGGGCCUCCUUUUCUCCCCGCUACAUCUGGCAAUAAUGACGGACCGCCUGGGAG